RNAcentral lists this microRNA precursor (105 nucleotides) under Canis lupus familiaris (dog). RNAcentral describes it as "mir-8834 microRNA precursor family". It matches the Rfam family "mir-8834 microRNA precursor family". RNAcentral also lists the same sequence under 1 other name. Lineage: Eukaryota; Metazoa; Chordata; Mammalia; Carnivora; Canidae. The record is from Rfam by way of RNAcentral.
AGGAGGAACAACCGCAGUGGCGGGGCCAGCUCUGGAGCCCUGGAGUCAGCCCCCGCAGUAACUCCAGAGCUCUCCGUCUGCAGGGCCUGGAGGCUCCGGGGCGGG